CGGGGAUCUGGGCCUGGUCGGGUGUCUGUAGUAGUUUAUCCCUCCCGUCCGACUCAUUGAAGAACUCUUCGUCCAGCUUGAGGAUUCACUCAGGAAUGCGAUUUUAGUGCUGAGUUACUGUACCUGUGAACAAAUGUGUGUUCUCAGAACACAUCUGCCAUCCUGAUGUGAAAACAAUCCUAGAUGCCGUGCCUACCUUAUGGCUCCAGGCAUCAACUCGCCACUUCCCUCCAAGAGGACACCCAGCUGUCCCUGUUGGUAAACCCAGCUGUUCCUGCUGGUAAACCCAACUGUUCCUGUCUGUCUCUCCAUUUUUCCUCUCAAUCUCUGUCUUGCUCCUUAUCCCCAUGUUUUUUUAGACUGUUGAAUGGCACAUUGUUAAGAAUUUAGGUCAAAUUUUGGUAAACCACCUCCCUUUGGUCAAUAACAAUGUCCUCUUCAGUGCAGAUUAAGUUAAAUGAAUAAGAAUGGAGUGGAUUCAUGUGAUGGGCUGGGUCAGACUGUCAGUGUCAAUACACAGUGAAUCUUUACUGUGACAGUUGUUUGUUUAAGAGGCGCCUCUGUGUCUCUCAAUAGGAGGUCACACAGGGGGAACUUCACACUAGUAUGAGCAAACAGGACCGCCUCAGUUCCAUGACUGGAACCUAUGUGAAAUGUGUGAACUAUAUAUACAAAAGUGUGUGGACACCUCUUCAAAUAGUGGAUUAAGCAAUUUAAA
This is a long non-coding RNA of Oncorhynchus tshawytscha (Chinook salmon), 718 nucleotides long. The record is from Ensembl. Lineage: Eukaryota; Metazoa; Chordata; Actinopteri; Salmoniformes; Salmonidae.